AUGAAGAACAGAAACAGCAACAGCAGCAGCAACAUCAACAACUACAAUAACAUUAACAACAAUGACAAUAGCAACAGCGACAACGGUGGGACUGCGAAUCUGUUAUCUCUUGCAUGCGCAGCUACAUGUUGGCCUUCACACUCACUCGAGGGAAAAUGGUUAUCAGAAAUACUAGACGACAUCAUGGCUCAUGAAAUGAUGACACAGUCGAGGAUGUGAGCAGCCUCAGAAAAGCGCUAUUUUCUAAAGAAGCAUCAGUUUUAGCGAAUACUACUACUACUACUACCACUACUACUACUACUACUACUACUACUGUUACUUCUUCUACUACUACUACUACUAGCGUUGCCGCUGCUGCUGCUACUACUACUACUACUAUACUAAUACUACGUACGAGAAAGCUUCGGGAGCAUGCACCUACUGGAUGAGGUUGGCGAGUUUGCAGCGCAGCAUCUUGUAAGCAAGUCCACGCCAUCUAGUGGAAGGAUCUGUCGUUGAACCAAACGUCUAGUGAAGGUGCUCGGGAUCUAGCUCGGAGUGGACCUCUGGAUGGAGAAAAACUAGAAAGUGUUCGCGAGUGAGUUGGUCAGUUACACUCUGAAGAAAUGAACUAAGCGAAAUCUCUUGAAAUAUCGAGCGAAAGUUGUUAACUCUUACAUCGCUUCGGUCGUCCACUAUCGCUUGGCCGUUAUGCCUUGUCCCAAGAAUCACCUAACUAGAUUGAAUUGGUUACUCUUUCACGUCUUGUAAGAGGAACAGAUUCUACUAGUCAAGAGUUCUAUUGUCAAUAGCCAGUAGGAGAAUGCGUCCAAAUGACAUCGCAGCAACACGCUAUGAUGGUACUUCUGCAGAGUUUCUCAAAGAACGACGGGGACUAUGCAUAGAGGGGGACAAACAAGGACAGACAAACGGAUUGAGUCGAUUACAUCCACCCCAGUGCGUAACUGGUACUUAAUUUAUCGACCCCGAAAGGAUGAAAGGCAAGGUCGACCUCGGCAGAAUUUGAACUCAGAACGUAACGGCAGACAAAAUACCGAAUGUACGGGAGAUAAUUUCAAACAUUUUUAGGUCUUAAUCUGAUCCCAUCAGCAAAGCUUAGCUAUCGUUGUACUUGUUCAAAUUGUGGUGAAUGAACCACUAAGUAAAUGACUUAGGAAAACAAAAGGUGAAGUUAAUGUUGACGUAAUAAAUGUACGGAGAAUUAAAAGGCUAACUAAAAAUAAAUGUUGAAGAAAAAGUCGGUGCCAGUCAAUGACUAGAAAUAAUUUCAUUUGCCGAAAUAGUGAUGAAAGAAUCACUAAGUAAAUAUACAAGACUGUAGAUUUAUAUAUGUUGGAAAAUA
Long non-coding RNA from Octopus bimaculoides (California two-spot octopus), 1342 nucleotides. RefSeq lists it as uncharacterized. Lineage: Eukaryota; Metazoa; Mollusca; Cephalopoda; Octopoda; Octopodidae. The record is from RefSeq and is a predicted model, not a curated record.